AACGCGCGGAAGAUUUCAUGCACACAUUAUAAUGUUCAACGUGUGAUGCGGUUUGUGUGUGAAGAAACGAAUGUGUCAAGAAGACACGUGGUUGUUGUGGUACUUGUGUGGUACUGUAUGCGACGACGGAGUUUGGACGUUUGCGAUUGCAGUUUUUGUUGAGGGAUUUGGAACGAAACUUCACGAAAGAAACAAUUUUCAUGGGAUUUAUUGUUGGAAUAAUCAUUUCCAGCGUUCAUUAUUCGCCUUGUGUUUAAAGUUGGAUAUCGAGCUAGAACUUGUGUUACAUCAUCAUCCCUCAUCACUCAGUCAGGCAGUUCAGUCAGGCAGUCAAGAAUAUGAUUGGAGUCGAGUUCUCGAGAACCUAGUAUCAGUCUUCCUCAAGGAGCAAGUAGACUUGAUCCACCGGGUGUUGACGUGGAAGCUUGUUCGUCAAAGAGUCAAGGACCGCCCUUAAAACGCAACCGAAGACACGCACAGAAAUCGUCCGAAAACUUCCAUGGAGAAGCUGAACCGAAUCGCAGACUACACCUCGUAAAAUCAGUGCGCUCGUCGCCUGCCAUCUCAUGAAUACAUAACAAUCCCAGAAUGCUUUGGGAUGAUCAUGUGUGGUUGGAAUGGCGGUCUGGCUUUUGACAAUGUGUCUGGGAACUAAUGCGUCUGCAUUUCCUCGUAAAAAACGUCUGAGGGGUGCUUUUAUCAGAGGGAGGCUAAAUGGAGGACGAUGGGAAAGCGACGAGGAGUUUUUUUAGAGGUCGCCGGUGCUCGGGACCGAGGCGUCGGUCAAGGAAACGAACUUGUCAAUGCCAUCGCACGCCGACUUUUCAGAACAGUCACAAUCACACCAUGUGCCGUGGAACACACGAAGAGAAUCUAGACGACAGCAAGCAGCCUGUAUGAGCUGUACAUUUAGGGUAACCCUGGGCCUCUCAAACGGGUCACAUGACUAGCCCCGCUCCCAUUUACUAUGAGGACGUGAAGGGUCAAAGUUCGCUUUGAGAUCCCAUUCCAGAGCUGGAAUCUAAUGGAAUUUAUUGUGGAAUAAAUCAGGUCUUAAUGUCUGUUUUAUUUUUAUUGCCAAACAACCCACUAUAGUAAAGAGAAGGCCUUCUAUGGAGCUAUCUGUACAUACCCAAGAAUCUUGGACUACUAUGGAUAUACUCAAAUAGGACUGGAUAAUAGUAAGAAGGUAAGUGGGACAGGGUUUACAUUCCCCCCAUCAGAGAUAAGCAUAGGGGGGUUGCCCCUAAAAUAGUUAAAAUAAAAAAGCCCUAUCAAUAUUGAAUAUAAAUCCCCUCGAGUAGGACUGAAUGAUCGUCAGAAAUUAAGGGGGACAGGGUUUACGUUCUCCCAUUAGAGAUAAGCAUGGGGGGUGCCCCUAAAUAAAAAAUAGCCCUAUUAAAAUUGAAUAAAAAGCCCCUCGAAUAGGACUGAAUGAUCGUCAGAAAUUGAGGGGGACAGGGUUUACAUUAUCCCAUUAGAGAUAAACAUGGGGGGGAGGGGUUGCC
Molecule: long non-coding RNA, 1508 nt
Filed under: Lytechinus variegatus (green sea urchin)
Lineage: Eukaryota; Metazoa; Echinodermata; Echinoidea; Temnopleuroida; Toxopneustidae
Description: uncharacterized LOC121419857, transcript variant X1
Source: RNAcentral